RNAcentral lists this non-coding RNA (1068 nucleotides) under Gongylonema pulchrum. RNAcentral describes it as "Eukaryotic large subunit ribosomal RNA". It matches the Rfam family "Eukaryotic large subunit ribosomal RNA", at positions 2389 to 3401 of the family's 3401-position model. The record is from Rfam by way of RNAcentral. Lineage: Eukaryota; Metazoa; Nematoda; Chromadorea; Rhabditida; Gongylonematidae.
CAAACAUAGAGGAGAAAGAAGAUCCUGUUGAACUUGACUUUAAUCCAACUCUGUGUAGAAUAAUGAGAGGCGUAGCACAACUGGAAGGCAUUUCGCGGCCAGUGAAAUACCAUUGCUUUCUUCGAUUUUUUACUUAUUUGAUAAAACGAGAAUUGGGACAAACAGUCUCGAAAUUUUCGAUUUAAGAACAGCCACUCGAUGGCCGUACGACUGCGCCGAAAACAGUGUCGGGCGAGGAGUUUGACUGGAACGAUACAUCUGUCAAAAAGUAACGCAGGUGUCCUAAGGCUAGUUCAGAGAGGACGGAAACCUCUCGUAGAGCAAAAGGGCAAAAGUUCGCUUGAUCUUGAUUUCCAGUGCGAAUACAGACCACGAAAGCAUGGCGUAUCGAUCCUUUUGAAUUAGAAAGUUUUUAGCAAGAGAUGUCAGAAAAAUUACCACAGGAAUAAUUAGCUCGGGGCAGCCAAGUGUCCAUAGUGAAGUUGCUUUUUGAUCCUUUGAUACCAGCUCUUUCUAUCGUGCGAAGCAGAAUUCACCAAGCGUUGGACUGUUCACCCACCAAUAAGUAACGUGAACUGGGUUUAGGUCGACGUAGACAGGUUAGUUUUACCCUAUUAUGAAAAGUUGUUGCGACAGUAAUUCUGCCCAGUACGAGUGAGAGAAACCGUGGGUUCAGUCAUCUGGUUCAUUUGCUUCACCGAUCGGCCAGUGGUACGAUAAUACCAUCUGAGGGAUUAUGACAGAUUUGGACUAGGUCAGAAUCCCGUGACGUGAUAUGCUGCAAAAGCGCACUUCCCCUUCAAACUUUGACGCGGUCGUACGCACUUCACAAGCGUGCGCGAAAGCUGAAUUUGAAAUCUUUAUGCACAUAGAAUAUCCCUACAUGGUUUCAGCUUUGUACCUUGCCUGGAUCGCGAAAUCGUUUCCCACCAAAAGAGUUUGCAUAUUUUGGAGGGUGUACCGUACGCGGGGUCUAGGCGCGUGUGAGGGGAGAUCUUAAAACGGGAGGCUGACAAAUGGGGUAGGAACGUAUACCUAAACUUUCAGCCUCCCAGUUUCCCUAGUUGU